GGAAUUUUGGGCAAUGGGCGAAAGCCUGACCCAGCAACGCCGCGUGAAGGAUGAAAUCCCUCGGGAUGUAAACUUCGCAAGAACGGGAAGAAUAAGUAGGGGACAAUACCCCCUAUGAUGACGGUACCGUUUGGAAGAGCAGGCUAACUCCGAGCCAGCAGCCGCGGUAAUACGGGGGGAGCAAGCGUUGUUCGGAUUGACUGGGCGUACAGGGCGCGUAGGCGGUCAGCACAAGUCAGUUGUGAAAUCUCCGAGCUUAACUCGGAAAGGUCAACUGAUACUGUGCGACUAGAGUGCAGAAGGGGCAACUGGAAUUCUCGGUGUAGCGGUGAAAUGCGUAGAUAUCGAGAGGAACACCUGCGGCGAAGGCGGGUUGCUGGGCUGACACUGACGCUGAGGCGCGAAAGCUAGGGGAGCGAAC
RNAcentral lists this ribosomal RNA (421 nucleotides) under uncultured bacterium. Its description in RNAcentral is "bacterial SSU rRNA". It matches the Rfam family "Bacterial small subunit ribosomal RNA", at positions 358 to 773 of the family's 1533-position model. The record is from RNAcentral.